AGAGUUUGAUCAUGGCUCAGGACGAACGCUGACGGUGUGCUUUAGACAUGCAAGUCGAACGAGAAAGCCCUUCGGGGUGAGUACAGUGGCGUGCGGGUGAGUAACACGUGGGUAACCUGCCCCUCGCAGAGGGACAACCGGGGGAAACUCCGGCUAAUACCUCGUACGCUUGCCGGGCCGCAUGGCACCGGCAAGGAAAGGUAGCUUCGGCCAUCCGGCGAGGGAUGGGCCCGCGGUCCAUUAGCUAGUUGGUGGGGUAACGGCCUACCAAGGCGACGAUGGAUAGCUGGUCUGAGAGGAUGAUCAGCCACACUGGGACUGAGACACGGCCCAGACUCCUACGGGAGGCAGCAGUCGGGAAUCUUGCGCAAUGGGCGAAAGCCUGACGCAGCAACACCGUGUGGGCGACGAAGGCCUUCGGGUCGUAAAGCCCUGUUGUUGGGGACGAAGGACGAAGGGUUAAUAGCCCCUAGUCUGACGGUACCCUUCGAGGAAGCCCCGGCUAACUACGUGCCAGCAGCCGCGGUAAUACGUAGGGGGCGAGCGUUGUCCGGAAUUAUUGGGCGUAAAGAGCGUGUAGGCGGUUCGGUAAGUCUGCUGUGAAAUCCUGGGGCUCAACCCCGGGCGUGCAGCGGAUACUGCCGGGCUAGAGGGUGGUAGAGGCGAGUGGAAUUCCCGGUGUAGCGGUGAAAUGCGCAGAUAUCGGGAGGAACACCAGUAGCGAAGGCGGCUCGCUGGGCCAUUCCUGACGCUGAGACGCGAAAGCAUGGGGAGCGAACAGGAUUAGAUACCCUAGUAGUCC
Molecule: ribosomal RNA, 802 nt
Filed under: uncultured bacterium
Lineage: Bacteria
Description: bacterial SSU rRNA
Rfam family: Bacterial small subunit ribosomal RNA
Source: RNAcentral